Molecule: non-coding RNA, 30 nt
Filed under: Mus musculus (house mouse)
Lineage: Eukaryota; Metazoa; Chordata; Mammalia; Rodentia; Muridae
Source: RNAcentral
UCCUGCUGUUACAAGGAUGUUUCAUAUGUC